This 502-nucleotide long non-coding RNA is filed under the name Elaeis guineensis (African oil palm). Its description in RNAcentral is "long non-coding RNA (EGUI_LNC044188)". The record is from RNAcentral. Lineage: Eukaryota; Viridiplantae; Streptophyta; Magnoliopsida; Arecales; Arecaceae.
UUAGGUGCUCUCCUUUCCUAGAGAUCUCAAAAGAAAGAGAAUGAAAUAAAAAAAUGAUUAAUGCAUAUGGAAAAAGCUCUUACCUUUCGAUUUUUUCCAUUUGUCGUCUAUUGUCUGUCGAUUUCCCUCUAUGUUCCAUCAUUUUUCAUCGGUUUUUCUUCUAUUUUCUUCAUCUAAAGAGUCUCAAUUGAGUGGAAAGUUUGCAGUGGUUGAAUAAGGAAGCUUAGACACUAGGAUUUCUGCUUGGGAGGAAUGGGAAGGGCUCAAUCGGGUUGGAGGGUUAGAGCAGCCGAAUAGGGAAGCUUAGAUGUUAGCUAGGAGAAAGUCAAAACACCAGGACCAAGUGAACCAGGGCAAAUCUUAGAGCAUAUGCACAUUGGAUAGCAUGCAAUCACGAAUUGAUUAAAUACAAUGGGUAACGUGGCCUCUUAUCCAUUGUAGGAUUUGGCACAAUCCAAUUGCACCUAGUGUGUGCAAUACGUAGACCGCUUCUGCUUGGGAG